This 205-nucleotide ribosomal RNA is filed under the name uncultured bacterium. RNAcentral's name for it is "partial 16S ribosomal RNA". It matches the Rfam family "Bacterial small subunit ribosomal RNA", at positions 1296 to 1500 of the family's 1533-position model. The record is from RNAcentral.
GAUUGCAGGCUGCAACUCGCCUGCAUGAAGUCGGAAUUGCUAGUAAUCGUAGGUCAGCAUACUACGGUGAAUACGUUCCCGGGCCUUGUACACACCGCCCGUCAAACCAUGAGAGUUGGCAACACCCGAAGUCGGUAGUCUAACCGCAAGGAGGACGCCGCCGAAGGUGGGGUUGAUGAUUAGGGUUAAGUCGUAACAAGGUACC